UCGCCUGUUUAUCAAAAACAUAGCCUAAAGUAUACAUUUUAGGUGAAAUCUGCUCAGUGUGAUUUUAUAAAUAGCCGCGGUACUUUGACCGUGCUAAGGUAGCGUAAUCAGUUGGCUUUUAAAUGGAGUCGGGUAUGAAUGAAAACACGGAGCCAAGCUGUCUCAAAUUCUGUUUCAUUGAAUUUACUGUGUAGAUGAAAAAGUCUACAAGAUUAAAAAAGACGAGAAGACCCUUAGAAUUUUUACAAAGCUAAAGAUAUAUUUAAAAUGUUUUUGUUGGGGCAACAUAGAAACAUAAAACUUUCUAGAGAAACUAUAUGACGAUUAUGAUAAGAGUGGUUAAAUUACCUGAGGGAUAACAGCAUAAUCUUAAAAUUUGGUUUGUGACCUCGAUGUUGGACUAGGAAAUUGGUAGACUAGCCGUUUACUAUGUUGGUUCUGUUCGAACUUAUUUUCCUACGUGAUCUGAGUUCAGACCG
Molecule: ribosomal RNA, 479 nt
Filed under: Pleurobranchaea californica
Lineage: Eukaryota; Metazoa; Mollusca; Gastropoda; Pleurobranchida; Pleurobranchidae
Description: partial 16S ribosomal RNA
Rfam family: Bacterial large subunit ribosomal RNA
Source: RNAcentral